Molecule: long non-coding RNA, 2259 nt
Organism: Ailuropoda melanoleuca (giant panda)
Lineage: Eukaryota; Metazoa; Chordata; Mammalia; Carnivora; Ursidae
Exons: 3
Source: RefSeq, a predicted model, not a curated record
UAUUUUGCAGAGGCAAGACCAGACUAAGGUUAGAAAGGAGUCAGUAAUGUGACAUCAAGACUCCAGAAUGUGAGCGGCGUUAGCAAGAAGAAAACUCCUCCAGGUAGUUCAGAGACCGAAACUCCACUCCCCGUCAUGCUUCCGUCCAAUCGCGCAGCUGUUGGGGUCAUGAUCGCGUUGCAUGCUGGGAGGCGUAGUCUCCGCCAGGCGGACGCACAGUCGUCAGGAGAUUGGACCAGACGAAGACUCUUUCACUGCUUGAAUGCUGACAAAAGGAGAAACUGCACCCAUUUCAGAGGAAAUGAGGGAGGCUCUGGACCACUCAGGAUUCCCUGAGAAAGCAGCUGAGGAAAACCACUAUAUAACCCUACUCAAAAGCUUCUUCCAACCCAGUCUCUGGCUGUAGCCUUUUCUGGUCUUCAACCAAAGGAGGCUUAUGCCUCCACCUCGUUGUUGUGGAUCAAACUGUGUCCCCCCUAAAGAAAUGCUGAAGUCCUCACGCCUGGUACCUGGGGAUGUGACCUUAUUUGGAAAUAGGGUCUUCGCAGAGGUAAUUAGGUUAAGAUGAAGUCAUAUUGGAUUGGAUGAGCCCUAAAUCCAAUGGCUGGUGUCCUUAUAAGAAGGCCAUGGGAAGACAUAGGGAAGACACAGGGGAGAAUGUCACGUGAAGAUGGAGGCAGAAAUUGGAGUGAAGCAUCCAGAAGCCAAGGAAUACCAAAGAUUUCUGGCAACCACCAGAAGCUAAGAGAAAAGCAUGGAACAGGUUCUCUCUCAGAACCGCCAGAAGCAAUCAAUCCUGCCACACCUUGAUUUUGGAUUUCCAGCCUCCAGAACUGUGAGACGAUAGAUUUCUGUUGUUGUAAGCCACCUGGUUUGUUGUACUUUGUUAGACAGCCCUACAAAACGAAUAUACCUGCUCUUGGGGUUCUUGGCCCCUCCAAGUCCUGAGCCUCUCAGAAGCUCCUUCUGAAAGACAGAUCAGCUCACUUCCGUCCGCAGAUGUUCUGGGAUGUUAGUUCCUUGCUAACUUUUAAUAUUUGAGGAGAUCUUAUGUCCUCUCACAUUCUGUGGUCCUUGAGAGUUUUUUUUUUUUUUAAGAAAUACAACUUCAUUAUUUUGAAUCACCCUUAAUAGUUUUAAAUAAGUCAAUAAAAUAUUGAACAAAGUUGCUCAUUUCAGAAUUACCUCUUUUAGCAAAAAGAAAAAAGAAAGCAGGUAAUGACUGAAUAAAUUAUGACAAGUCAACUGAUUGGAAUACCAGGCUACUGUUUCAAAGGAUAACGGGAAAAUUGUUAGAAUGUUAUGUUAAGUCACCGAAGCUGACUACACUAGUGUCUCUGGGUAAAUUCGUGUCUACGUGUGGACAAUAGCAUAAAGGGGCACCACAGGAAGAAGAGAAUGGGAGGUCCUUAUUUCUGCUAACAGCCUGCUCUUAAUGACCCAAGUAUUCGGGAAGGCGAUAUGUUUUCUCUAUUGUGUUCCUUAUGUCCUUCUGAGUCCUCACUAGCAGAGUCCUUAACAUCCUUGCUUAUACUAACAGUCUGUUCAAGGAAAUCUAGGUUUUUAUCCAUCAUGUUCCUCAAAAAAGUUUCACCUUCUUUUCAAUACCCAAGAAAGUUUAUACCUUUUUAAAAAUUCCUUUAUUAUUAUAUUAAUGGAAUUCUCAGAAGGAUGAGGAGAUAAACUAGUGAAGCCAGUCUGCCAUCUUUCACUGGCAAUGUCAGCCCGCUUUGCAAGUGGAAGUGUUAGGUCAAGAACAGCUUCCCAUAACAUAUUUCUGAGAGAAUUUUCUAUAGUACCCAGCUAAACAGAAUCCAUUAGCCCAUUUUGUCUUCUAGGAAUUGGUCUCCCUGGAAUCUCUACUCUGGUCCCUGUACCUUCCCCUCUGAAGGAUUCCGGGUUUCAUUCUGUAAAUGGGAGGUUUACAAAGGUAGAGCACACUACUGGCCAGAAUGGAAUCCCUUUUCCUUCCUCAGGGCAGUAUAGUGAGAAAAAGCAGCAGAUGUAGACAGAGAGGACUUGGAUUUGAACUUCUGGCUCUAUUCUGUAUUAACUGCUUCACUCGAAUUAAGUUCAUUAGCUUCUGUAGGUUUCACUUUCCUCAUAUGUUAAACUUACACCAUUAGACAUUAUGGGAUCCAGAAUGAAGUAUUUUCUUCUUUCACAGUUAGGGUCAAAUUAAACUGUGUCUGUAAAAGCACCUUGUAAACACAGUCAGUGUUCAUUAAAUGUCUGUUUUCUGAAAAAAAUAUGUGCAUG